Long non-coding RNA from Trichoplusia ni (cabbage looper), 384 nucleotides. RefSeq lists it as uncharacterized. Lineage: Eukaryota; Metazoa; Arthropoda; Insecta; Lepidoptera; Noctuidae. The transcript has 2 exons. The record is from RefSeq and is a predicted model, not a curated record.
UGAGUCAAGAAGUGGGAUUAACGUGACUUUCGUUAACUGGCAACAUUUUCAGUGAUGGCCGAUGUUUCAACUUGGACGGGAUGCUAACGACCGUUGCCGAAUUUUAGUGUUGAAUUAUAUCAAGUUUCUAAUAAUUCGGUGUUUUUAUGUGAAUAUUAUAAAUUCUAACAACAUUUCGUGUGAUAUUGUGUGUUUAUAGUGACUAAAUUUCAAGUGUUGUUCAUUAGAGAAUGUUUGUUGUGCCCUCGCUUUAACAGGAUCACUGGAUAAUAAAAUAUUGGAUUACGGUUGCUGUUUAUUUAAUUGUUGUGGACUAAAGAGCUAGUGCAAAUAGUGGAGUGCAUCGAUGAGACUCCACUGAGUUUUCGAAGAUAACAGCGUCGC